This 549-nucleotide ribosomal RNA is filed under the name uncultured bacterium. RNAcentral's name for it is "bacterial SSU rRNA". It matches the Rfam family "Bacterial small subunit ribosomal RNA", at positions 355 to 896 of the family's 1533-position model. The record is from RNAcentral.
UGGGGAAUAUUGGACAAUGGGCGAAAGCCUGAUCCAGCCAUGCCGCGUGUGUGAAGAAGGUCUUCGGAUUGUAAAGCACUUUAAGUUGGGAGGAAGGGCAGUAAGUUAAUACCUUGCUGUUUUGACGUUACCAACAGAAUAAGCACCGGCUAACUUCGUGCCAGCAGCCGCGGUAAUACGAAGGGUGCAAGCGUUAAUCGGAAUUACUGGGCGUAAAGCGCGCGUAGGUGGUUCAGCAAGUUGGAUGUGAAAUCCCCGGGCUCAACCUGGGAACUGCAUCCAAAACUACUGAGCUAGAGUACGGUAGAGGGUGGUGGAAUUUCCUGUGUAGCGGUGAAAUGCGUAGAUAUAGGAAGGAACACCAGUGGCGAAGGCGACCACCUGGACUGAUACUGACACUGAGGUGCGAAAGCGUGAGGAGCAAACAGGAUUAGAUACCCUGGUAGUCCACGCCGUAAACGAUGUCGACUAGCCGUUGGGAUCCUUGAGAUCUUAGUGGCGCAGCUAACGCGAUAAGUCGACCGCCUGGGGAGUACGGCCGCAAGGUUA